Long non-coding RNA from Agrilus planipennis (emerald ash borer), 697 nucleotides. RefSeq lists it as uncharacterized. Lineage: Eukaryota; Metazoa; Arthropoda; Insecta; Coleoptera; Buprestidae. The record is from RefSeq and is a predicted model, not a curated record. The transcript is spliced from 4 exons.
UAAAUUUUUUGCAUAACAGAUAUCUAUUAAAUAAAUUAGUUAAUAAUUGUUUUUGACCGUUUACACAGAUUGGCCAACAAUUGAGAGAGAUUGGAACUGAUAUCGUUGCUUACUGAAAAGAUAAGUCGUCUCCUAUGGUGUUUUAGCUGUUUAACUUUCAUCUUGGAGGCUCUUGUAGUUAAUUAAGGAACAUUAGAAGGACUCCAUAUACCAGUAAAUUAUGAAAUUUUGGAGCACUGGUUGUAUUAGUCCUCAUUUGCCCCAGAAAGUAGCUGUUCCCAUGGUUCUAAAGAAAGCAUGAAAGUGCCUUUUUUCCAUUGGGAACGAAGCUGUUAAAUUUUCAUCCUGGAUGCUCUUGUAGUUAAUUGAGGGAUGUUAGAAGAAUUUCCAGAUGCCAUUAAAUUGUGGAGCAUUGAUUGUGUCGGUUCUCAUUGACUCCACAAAGUGACUGUUCCUAUGGUCAUAAAGAAAGGAUGAAAGUGCCUUUCCAUUGGGAACGGAGACAAUGUGCUUAAGAAGUGUGUUGCUGAAGGAGGGAUUUAUGACAAUAAACUGAUUGUCCCACAAAUGAGAAGGAAUUGCAGUUAAUUUUGGUGCUACUAAAACAACUGAUGCUCUUGACGUCUUCACCUUGCAACAUUAUGCAGUUAAUUUUUGCCGUAACAAUGGGAGGCAAUUGGAAAUAAAUUAAUUUGGA